CGUGCUAGAUGGGGAGCUGGCGGUGCCCUGAACCCGCAAUCCGCCAUAGCGGGAUUAAAUCCCCCUCCUAGAACGAAACUUGAGGCCUCUGUAACGAUUCGGACAUCGAAGAUAGUUCAGACCCGUGCAACGACAAACCGUGAAUUCCGCCAGGACCGGAAGGUAGCAACGGUAAGCGAUAAAAUCGUGUGCCGCGGACCACUGGACUGGAGUUGAAAGAACGAAGCAUGUUUUCAAGAUUCGUGCAAAGAGGGGUGCACG
This 261-nucleotide signal recognition particle RNA is filed under the name marine eukaryotic metagenome. RNAcentral's name for it is "Bacterial large signal recognition particle RNA". It matches the Rfam family "Bacterial large signal recognition particle RNA". From Rfam's summary of the family: The signal recognition particle (SRP) is a universally conserved ribonucleoprotein involved in the co-translational targeting of proteins to membranes. The record is from RNAcentral.